This is a non-coding RNA of Rhodocollybia butyracea, 110 nucleotides long. Lineage: Eukaryota; Fungi; Basidiomycota; Agaricomycetes; Agaricales; Omphalotaceae. The record is from the annotation of a GenBank genome assembly.
UGCCCCAUGGCUGAGUUGGUUACAGCGUCCAACUGUUAUGACCAAACCCAGGCUAAAAGCACUGUUACCUUAACAUCGGAAGUUCGAGAGUUCAAGCCUCUCUGGGGGAG